This 444-nucleotide ribosomal RNA is filed under the name uncultured prokaryote. Its description in RNAcentral is "bacterial SSU rRNA". It matches the Rfam family "Bacterial small subunit ribosomal RNA", at positions 355 to 796 of the family's 1533-position model. The record is from RNAcentral.
UGAGGAAUCUUGCGCAAUGGGGGCAACCCUGACGCAGCCACGCCGCGUGCCGGAAGACGGCCCUAUGGGUUGUAAACGGCUUUUGAUCGGGAAGAACCUGGACCUUUCGAGGACCACUGACGGUACCGAUCGAAUAAGCACCGGCUAACUCCGUGCCAGCAGCCGCGGUAAUACGGAGGGUGCAAGCGUUGUCCGGAAUUAUUGGGUGUAAAGGGUGCGCAGGCGGAAGCUUAAGUCGAAGGUGAAAUCUUGCCGCUUAACGGUAAAAGCGCCUCCGAUACUGAGUUUCUUGAGUCCGGAAGAGGUUGGUGGAAUUCGUGGUGUAGCGGUGAAAUGCAUAGAGAUCACGAAGAACACCGGUGGCGAAGGCGGCCAACUGGUCCGGUACUGACGCUGAGGCACGAGAGCGUGGGGAGCGAACAGGAUUAGAUACCCCCGUAGUCC